Molecule: unclassified non-coding RNA, 647 nt
Filed under: Hevea brasiliensis (rubber tree)
Lineage: Eukaryota; Viridiplantae; Streptophyta; Magnoliopsida; Malpighiales; Euphorbiaceae
Source: RNAcentral
AAACUCAUAAACCAACAUCUGCAGGCAUAAUGGAAUACAUAUUAAGCUUUUCCCAAAUGAUAAAUUUUAACAUCACUAGAGAAAUAAGAAAAACAAAAGAAUUAUAUUUGGCAUAGAAUGACAAAUUUUUUCCUCAUUGACAGAAUCACUUAUAAAGGGGGAAAAAAAAACUUUCUGUACCUCCUAAAUGCCAUUUCUAGAUUCAAAUUGUUUCUUUAUUUUGCCAGAAAUUAUUUAGCAAUCAGAAUAACAAAACAUAAGCCUUUUACAUCUCUCAAAGUUGGCACUACUGCCUAAGAGUUGUGGCCUAACUGUUAAGGCUUCAAUCACACAUGGGGUGAGGGCUCAUAGGUUUUGACUUCUGAGGCUUGCAGCAAUGCGGGAGGGAACAAAGACUUGUGCCUACAGCUUACCCUAUGCCCAUGAUUACUCUAGUAGGGAUUUUUAUUUGGGUAAAAAAAAAGAACCUGAACUUUCCCCACAUAGUCUCCUAUAAUCCACCAAUUUAAUAGAACUGACUUCCUAAAAGGAUGAGAAAGACAGGCAGGAUUUGAUUAAUUUAAUUGACAAUGUGAAGACUAUGAAGGUGAACUUAAAAAAUUGUGAAAUAUAUAUGAGGGUACCUGUUCACCUUCUUCAUCACAGUA